RNAcentral lists this ribosomal RNA (489 nucleotides) under Clostridioides difficile. Its description in RNAcentral is "bacterial SSU rRNA". It matches the Rfam family "Bacterial small subunit ribosomal RNA", at positions 1014 to 1503 of the family's 1533-position model. Lineage: Bacteria; Bacillati; Bacillota; Clostridia; Peptostreptococcales; Peptostreptococcaceae. The record is from RNAcentral.
UUCCCUUCGGGGACAUUGGUGACAGGUGGUGCAUGGUUGUCGUCAGCUCGUGUCGUGAGAUGUUGGGUUAAGUCCCGCAACGAGCGCAACCCUUGUCUUUAGUUGCCAUCAUUAAGUUGGGCACUCUAGAGAGACUGCCAGGGAUAACCUGGAGGAAGGUGGGGAUGACGUCAAAUCAUCAUGCCCCUUAUGCUUAGGGCUACACACGUGCUACAAUGGGUAGUACAGAGGGUUGCCAAGCCGUAAGGUGGAGCUAAUCCCUUAAAGCUACUCUCAGUUCGGAUUGUAGGCUGAAACUCGCCUACAUGAAGCUGGAGUUACUAGUAAUCGCAGAUCAGAAUGCUGCGGUGAAUGCGUUCCCAGGUCUUGUACACACCGCCCGUCACACCACGGGAGUUGGAGACGCCCGAAGCCGACUAUCUAACCUUUUGGAAGAAGUCGUCGAAGGUGGAAUCAAUAACUGGGGUGAAGUCGUAACAAGGUAGCCGU